Molecule: ribosomal RNA, 253 nt
Filed under: uncultured bacterium
Lineage: Bacteria
Description: partial 16S ribosomal RNA
Rfam family: Bacterial small subunit ribosomal RNA
Source: RNAcentral
UACGGAGGGUGCAAGCGUUAUCCGGAUUUACUGGGCGUAAAGCGUGUGCAGGCGGGGGUACAAGUGGUGUAUGAAAUUUCCCAGCUUAACUGGGAAGGGUUAUGCCAGACUGUACUUCUGGAGUGCGAGAGAGGGGCGUGGAAUUCCGGGUGUAGUGGUGAAAUGCGUAGAGAUCCGGAGGAACCCCAGAGGCGAAGGCGGCGCCCUGGCUCGCAACUGACGCUCAGACACGACAGCAUGGGGAGCGAACGGG